Octopus bimaculoides (California two-spot octopus) is the source of this 2115-nucleotide long non-coding RNA. RefSeq lists it as uncharacterized. NCBI's taxonomy places the organism in Eukaryota, Metazoa, Mollusca, Cephalopoda, Octopoda, Octopodidae. The record is from RefSeq and is a predicted model, not a curated record.
UGUCAUCCUCGCAAUCGACUGCAUCGACAUCAAACGGAUUGCUAUACCAAUUCGGAAUAUUCAGCACAAUAACAUCUUGAAAUCGCUCCACCAUGUUAUCGUGCAAUGAUUGUAAACAGCUGCGAUAUGUAGUUAAAUCCUCAUCAACUAAUUCAUCUAAGUUAUGGAAAUUGAUGGAAUGAUGUUUUGAAAUGUUAGUCUUAUACAACACCAAUUUCGUAAAGAAGGUGGUGAUAAACGAUUUACAAUCAAUGAGAGUUUUUCUGUUUCCUUGUAAUAACUUAUUCAAAUCAUUUGAUUUUGUGAAUAUAUCACAAAGAAAAAAGAUAUCACACCUUGCAGCCAUCAGUGAAGCGGAUAGUGGAGUAUCUUCAAAGAAAGAGAUGAUUAUAUGAAACAGUUCAACAAAGCGUAAAACACAGUUUCCUUUUGACAGCCACCGGACUUCAAUUUGGUAUAAAAGUUUAGUAUGGUCCUCAUCAUUUCUCAGACAGAGUUGACGGAAAAUUCGAUCAGACAAAGAACUGGAUUUUAAUUUGUUCACAGUCUUGAUAACUAAUUGUAGCGCAUCAUUCAACCUACCGUUCAUAUUUUUUGCCACUAAAUGUUGCCGGUGUGCCAAGCAAUGAACCUUUAGUAUUUGGUGGGAAAUUUAACGCUUUAGGAGAGAUGAAAAACCUCUGUAUUUUCUUAUCAUCGAAGGGGCUCCAUCAGACGCACAGGCAAGGAUAUUACUGAGCGGGUUAUUAUGUUCUAAAAGGAAAGACUUGAGAGUGCGAAAAAUAGUUGCACUUCUUGAAUCAAGCGGCAGUUUCUCUAUGAACAGCAUUUCCUCACAAGGUUGAAGGUCUUCGCUGAAAUACCGAACAUAUACCAUCAUCAAACAUUGAUUGUUCACAACAGUUGACUCAUCCAUUUGUAUAGAAAAUUCAGAACGCUGGAGAAUAUUAAUGAGCUGAUGUUUGACAUCGUUGGCCAUUUCAUUGAUGCAUCGAGAAAAUGUGUUAUUACUAAGUGAGAUCUUCUUCAUAAUGUUAUCGGAUUUUUCGUACAUAACGGUUGACAAAACCUCUUUGAUAACUGGGCGAAGUAAUGUUUCUCCAAUUGUGUGAAACUUCCCAGACUUAGCAAUAAGCAAUGCAAUGUUGUACGAUGCAAUCAACCCGUUAUUCUCCUGUUCAUUUGUUUCCUGGAGUAGCGUGUUGAAUGUUUGUAUUUACUUUUUGAAAGAGGAGCUCACUUGCAAAAAGUAUGAUAACAGCUUGUCUUCCUUGUCAGAAUGCUUUGUAUGAAAGUGAUACUUCAAGCGUGAAGGUUUCAUUGCUUCGUUAGUCAAUCUUUGAUGGCAAAGAAGGCGCAUAGAAGGCACAUUGUAACUGACAGUUCUGAGGAGAGGGGAUUAAUCCAAACGAUAAGUAAUCACUACUGUACUGUCAACAAAUUUUCUUGACUGGAGGCAUGAGUAAAGAGAAAAUGUGAAAACGAAUUUCUACAGAUGGCGUCAGAAAGGCAGUAUGGUAUUCCCAAAGAGAAGAAGUCAAUAGGGCAGAUAGAUAACACGUCUUUACUGGGGCAAAUAUGGAUCUAGUUCGUUUGGUUGCCAGCAUUUCAAAAUUACUGGACUGCGAUCUAGCUGGGGCACCACCUUCAAGAAUUUUUAGUCGAAUGAAUCGGCCCCAGUACUUUUUUUAAAGCUUGGUACUUAUUCUAUCGGAGACUUAAGCCGAACCGCUUUUUGUUUAGUUCAGGAAAUUAAAGCACGUUAACACUUCAAAACUUGCUUGCCCUCAUCUUCUGAAUUAAGUGAUGAUAGAUAAAAACAAAACAGUCAACACACAUAGAUCAUAAUUGAAAUAAACCAAACAAAAUCUCAUGAACUGUGAAACAAUUGUAAAUCCAGGGAUGAUGAAUUUUUGUAAUUACAGCAUCAUUCAUAUAAUCCCGGUGGCUACAACAAAAACGUGGCAACAACGUGCUGUUGUUACUAUUUAAUCCAAAAGAUGAAGCCGAGAAAGGUUUGAAAUAUCAAUUGACUUAGAAAGACCAUAGCUGUAAAAUAUAAAAGGACGAAAUAAGGCAAAAUGAAAAUUUAUUAGUAAAAAAAUUAAAUUUGUA